GACGAACGCUGGCGGCGUGCUUAACACAUGCAAGUCGAACGGAAAGGCCCUGCUUGCAGGGUACUCUAGUGGCGAACGGGUGAGUAACACGUGGGUGAUCUGCCCUGCACUUCGGGAUAAGCCUGGGAAACUGGGUCUAAUACCGCAUAGGAGCCAUUUUUAGUGUGAUGGUUGGAAAGUUUUUUCGGUGUAGGAUGAGCUCGCGGCCUAUCAGCUUGUUGGUGGGGUAAUGGCCUACCAAGGCGGCGACGGGUAGCCGGCCUGAGAGGGUGGACGGCCACAGUGGGAAUGAGAAACGGCCCAGACUCCUAAGGGAGGCAGCAGUGGGGAAUAUUGCACAAUGGGCGCAAGCCUGAUGCAGCGACGCCGCGUGGGGGAUGACGGCCUUCGGGUUGUAAACUCCUUUCGCUAGGGACGAAGCUUUUUGUGACGGUACCUAGAUAAGAAGCACCGGCUAACUACGUG
This 465-nucleotide ribosomal RNA is filed under the name uncultured bacterium. RNAcentral's name for it is "partial 16S ribosomal RNA". It matches the Rfam family "Bacterial small subunit ribosomal RNA", at positions 28 to 507 of the family's 1533-position model. The record is from RNAcentral.